RNAcentral lists this ribosomal RNA (497 nucleotides) under uncultured bacterium. Its description in RNAcentral is "partial 16S ribosomal RNA". It matches the Rfam family "Bacterial small subunit ribosomal RNA", at positions 28 to 507 of the family's 1533-position model. The record is from RNAcentral.
GAUGAACGCUGGCGGCGUGCCUAAUACAUGCAAGUCGAGCGAACGGACGAGAAGCGUGCGUCUCUGAUGUUAGCGGCGGACGGGCGAGUAACAUGUGUAUAACCUAACUAUAAGACGGGGAUAACUUCGGGAAACCGGAGCUAAUACCGGAAGAUAUUUGGAAACGCAUGGUUCAAAAGUGAAAGACGGUCUUGCUGCCACAGAUAGACGGAUCCGCGCUGCAUUAGCUAGUUGGUAAGGUAACGGCUUACCAAGGCAACGAUGCAUAGCCGACCUGAGAGGGUGAUCGGCCACACUGGAACUGAGACACGGUCCAGACUCCUACGGGAGGCAGCAGUAGGGAAUCUUCCGCAAUGGGCCAAAGCCUGACGGAGCAACGCCGCGUGAGUGAUGAAGGUCUUCGGAUCGUAAAACUCUGUUAUUAGGGAAGAACACAUGUGUAAGUAACUGUGCACAUCUUGACGGUACCUAAUCAGAAAGCCACGGCUAACUACGUG